Molecule: long non-coding RNA, 143 nt
Organism: Thalassophryne amazonica
Lineage: Eukaryota; Metazoa; Chordata; Actinopteri; Batrachoidiformes; Batrachoididae
Exons: 3
Source: RefSeq, a predicted model, not a curated record
CUUUAGUUCCAUAUAUAAUGUGUACUUUUUAUCAAAAACCAAAAUCUAACUUACUUGCUGCAUAACAGCUCGGAGGUCACUGACUGGAAGAGGAUCGAAGUUCAGCUCAUCCAUGUAGUCGUGAAGUCUCUGGACUUCAACAG